CUCCGCCCGCUCCGAGGGUCCGCGGAAAGUAGUCCCGCGCGCCCUCUGCCCUGACGCGGUGUGUGCCAGCUACCCGAGUGAAAGGUUUUCGGGGGAUUAAUCCUGAUGGGGUCUGCGGCGGCCCUUGCCCAGCGCCUUCCACAUGUGGAGCGGGCCAGUGGUGCUAGUUCUGCCGCCAACUCUGGACGGUUGAGUUCAGGGCCACUUUUUACUCAGGCACGGAUGUGACAGAAAGAUGGAAAAGGGUCUUGGAAGAACCACAUGUGCCGUAUAACGAACGACCUUUUGGUCUGAGGAGGACCGUGUAUAUGACGGUGGUCCCAUAACAUGAUAACGGAGCUGGAAACUUCCUGUCCUCUGGUGAGGGCUUAGCUAAGGACAUUUCCUCUCCUGUAUUUGGAGAUACACGUACAGGUGGAUCUGAAGCAGUGCUGCCUUAGUCUCCUUGGACUCUCAGCUCCAUUUCCUCAGCUCAAGUAGUCCACUGGGCUCUACCUCAGUUCUGCCUCCUCUUGCUGUGGCCUAGAAAUUCUCUCUGGAUAUCAGAAAACAAAGGACAGUAAUCCCUGCCAAGAUGGGAUACAAACAAGCUGCAGCCCUUGGUGCACAGUAUGAUCUGGACCUGGGGCACAGCAAGACCAGAACCAUGAACCACCAUGAACCAUGA
This 667-nucleotide long non-coding RNA is filed under the name Homo sapiens (human). RNAcentral's name for it is "HSALNT0404941". The record is from RNAcentral. Lineage: Eukaryota; Metazoa; Chordata; Mammalia; Primates; Hominidae.